This 62-nucleotide transfer RNA is filed under the name Tylorrhynchus heterochetus (Japanese palolo). RNAcentral describes it as "tRNA-Leu". Lineage: Eukaryota; Metazoa; Annelida; Polychaeta; Phyllodocida; Nereididae. The record is from RNAcentral.
AUUGUAAUGGCAGAUUUAUGCGUUAGAUUUAAGCUCUAAAGACGAAUAUUAUUCUUACAAUA